Molecule: long non-coding RNA, 219 nt
Organism: Triticum aestivum (bread wheat)
Lineage: Eukaryota; Viridiplantae; Streptophyta; Magnoliopsida; Poales; Poaceae
Exons: 3
Source: RefSeq, a predicted model, not a curated record
GGCGAGCCGCAGCACAUAGCAGACAGCAGAGCAAGAGGCCAAGAGCAAAGGACAGAGACAGUGCAGCAUUGAGCUCUGUUCGUUGGAGGCGUGGAGCUCUAUUCUAAUCUUGAAGGCAAGAUGAGUAAAAGAAACAAGACAUUGAAUUCAUUUUUUCAAGUUCGAACCACAGAAACUGCAGAAACAGGUCCUUCAACUCGAACAACUGAUAAUGCCCCU